This 848-nucleotide ribosomal RNA is filed under the name Exserohilum rostratum. RNAcentral describes it as "partial 28S ribosomal RNA". It matches the Rfam family "Eukaryotic large subunit ribosomal RNA", at positions 68 to 934 of the family's 3401-position model. Lineage: Eukaryota; Fungi; Ascomycota; Dothideomycetes; Pleosporales; Pleosporaceae. The record is from RNAcentral.
ACAGGGAUUGCCCUAGUAACGGCGAGUGAAGCGGCAACAGCUCAAAUUUGAAAUCUGGCUCUUUCAGAGUCCGAGUUGUAAUUUGCAGAGGGCGCUUUGGCUUUGGCAGCGGUCCAAGUUCCUUGGAACAGGACGUCACAGAGGGUGAGAAUCCCGUACGUGGUCGCUAGCUAUUGCCGUGUAAAGCCCCUUCGACGAGUCGAGUUGUUUGGGAAUGCAGCUCUAAAUGGGAGGUAAAUUUCUUCUAAAGCUAAAUAUUGGCCAGAGACCGAUAGCGCACAAGUAGAGUGAUCGAAAGAUGAAAAGCACUUUGGAAAGAGAGUCAAACAGCACGUGAAAUUGUUGAAAGGGAAGCGCUUGCAGCCAGACUUGCUUGCAGUUGCUCAUCCGGGCUUUUGCCCGGUGCACUCUUCUGCAGGCAGGCCAGCAUCAGUUUGGGCGGUGGGAUAAAGGUCUCUGUCAUGUACCUCUCUUCGGGGAGGCCUUAUAGGGGAGGCGACAUACCACCAGCCUAGACUGAGGUCCGCGCAUCUGCUAGGAUGCUGGCGUAAUGGCUGUAAGCGGCCCGUCUUGAAACACGGACCAAGGAGUCUAACAUCUAUGCGAGUGUUUGGGUGUCAAGCCCGAGCGCGUAAUGAAAGUGAACGGAGGUGGGAACCCGCAAGGGUGCACCAUCGACCGAUCCUGAAGUUUACGGAAGGAUUUGAGUAAGAGCAUGGCUGUUGGGACCCGAAAGAUGGUGAACUAUGCUUGAAUAGGGUGAAGCCAGAGGAAACUCUGGUGGAGGCUCGCAGCGGUUCUGACGUGCAAAUCGAUCGUCAAAUUUGGGCAUAGGGGCGAAAGACUAA